AAAUAUUAGCAUCAUUAGUGUUUCUUUUUCCCUAUAGCCUUCACUCGAAGCAAAACUUUCCUAAGCACAAUAUGGCUUAUAACAAUCCUUCCUGCCUUGGUUUGCUCGCUUUGGCACCUGACUUCCUCUGCUGCUGAUAUACUGCCUGCACUGAGGUACUGCUGAUUCAGAAUUACAGAAGCCAAUUGGUGAUUCACUCCUUAGAAGACUCACACAGAGCCUUCCAGUACAAAUAACUUUGCUGGAUGAUGUGACUGCUUCAGGAGAUAGUAUCCUGCAGGUGAAAGGCAGAAGAACAAGCAGGACAGUCUUCAAGGAAAUUUAUGGAUAUGAUACCAUGAGGGAGAAACAUACCCACAUUUAAAAGAAUGUCACUUUUUACCAAGGCUACAUCCUCAUUGCUGGUAGACAAUAUCUCAGUUCCUUGUCACCAUCGAAUCUAUCUGCAAUAACUUACUUGGUCAACAUAAGCCAGUGAUGUGGGUAUAACAUUUUCCUGGAUAUUAGAUUCCUGAAGCCCCUUAUCUUGAAGCUAUAGCUCAGAAAUACUUGUGAAUUCAUCAUUACUCAGAAAGUUUGUCAGGAAGCUGCAGUCGGACUAUGCCACCACCCAUUAGAUUCUGCCUACUUAACAGCAAAAAGAAGUGAAACACUGUCAUCAGGAAAUCUGGCCCACUAUUUUUGAAAAAGAAAGUAAGGUUAAUACCCAUAAUUGUACGUUUAAAAUAUUUUAAGCAAGUGUUA
This 744-nucleotide long non-coding RNA is filed under the name Oryctolagus cuniculus (rabbit). Its description in RNAcentral is "lncRNA (ENSOCUG00000039431.1)". The record is from RNAcentral. Lineage: Eukaryota; Metazoa; Chordata; Mammalia; Lagomorpha; Leporidae.